GCGCGAAACCUUUACACUGCACGCAAGUGCGAUAAGGGGACCCCAAGUGCGAGGGCAUAUAGUCCUCGCUUUUCUCGACUGUAAGGCGGUCGUGGAAUAAGAGCUGGGCAAGACCGGUGCCAGCCGCCGCGGUAAUACCGGCAGCUCAAGUGAUGACCGAUAUUAUUGGGCCUAAAGCGUCCGUAGCCGGCCACGAAGGUUCAUCGGGAAAUCCGCCAGCUCAACUGGCGGGCGUCCGGUGAAAACCACGUGGCUUGGGACCGGAAGGCUCGAGGGGUACGUCCGGGGUAGGAGUGAAAUCCCGUAAUCCUGGACGGACCACCGAUGGCGAAAGCACCUCGAGAAGACGGAUCCGACGGUGAGGGACGAAAGCUAGGGUCUCGAACCGGAUUAGAUACCCGGGUAGUCCUAGCUGUAAACGAUGCUCGCUAGGUGUGACACAGGCUACGAGCCUGUGUUGUGCCGUAGGGAA
This 472-nucleotide ribosomal RNA is filed under the name Haloferax volcanii. Its description in RNAcentral is "bacterial SSU rRNA". It matches the Rfam family "Archaeal small subunit ribosomal RNA", at positions 339 to 810 of the family's 1478-position model. The record is from RNAcentral. Lineage: Archaea; Methanobacteriati; Methanobacteriota; Halobacteria; Halobacteriales; Haloferacaceae.